This 28-nucleotide ribosomal RNA is filed under the name Nocardia crassostreae. Its description in RNAcentral is "partial 23S ribosomal RNA". Lineage: Bacteria; Bacillati; Actinomycetota; Actinomycetes; Mycobacteriales; Nocardiaceae. The record is from RNAcentral.
GGUGGAUGCCUUGGCACCAGGAGCCGAU